CUCAAAAUUUGACAGUUUACAACACUCUCUCUUAGCAACCAAACUACAAUUAUUAAGGUGGUAAAUACGUUUAUGAAUCACUGCUACUUUGUUCGCUCGUGUUGUUGGUGUUGUUUUUAAGCCAUAUUAAGAAUCAGCAUUUCUCAAACUUA
Long non-coding RNA from Bradysia coprophila, 152 nucleotides. NCBI's taxonomy places the organism in Eukaryota, Metazoa, Arthropoda, Insecta, Diptera, Sciaridae. The record is from RefSeq and is a predicted model, not a curated record.